AUUGAACGCUGGCGGCAGGCCUAACACAUGCAAGUCGAGCGGAUGAAGGGAGCUUGCUCCUGGAUUCAGCGGCGGACGGGUGAGUAAUGCCUAGGAAUCUGCCUGGUAGUGGGGGAUAACGUCCGGAAACGGGCGCUAAUACCGCAUACGUCCUGAGGGAGAAAGUGGGGGAUCUUCGGACCUCACGCUAUCAGAUGAGCCUAGGUCGGAUUAGCUAGUUGGUGGGGUAAAGGCCUACCAAGGCGACGAUCCGUAACUGGUCUGAGAGGAUGAUCAGUCACACUGGAACUGAGACACGGUCCAGACUCCUACGGGAGGCAGCAGUGGGGAAUAAUGGACAAUGGGCGAAAGCCUGAUCCAGACAUGCCGCGUGUGUGAAGAAGGUCUUCGGAUUGUAAAGCACUUUAAGUUGGGAGGAAGGGCAGUAAGUUAAUACCUUGCUGUUUUGACGUUACCAACAGAAUAAGCACCGGCUAACUUCGUG
This 484-nucleotide ribosomal RNA is filed under the name uncultured bacterium. Its description in RNAcentral is "partial 16S ribosomal RNA". It matches the Rfam family "Bacterial small subunit ribosomal RNA", at positions 30 to 507 of the family's 1533-position model. The record is from RNAcentral.